GGUAGGGUAUCCAAGUGGUUAAAGGGAGUAGAUUGUAAAUCUAACGAGUUUUCUCUUCGGGGGUUCAAAUCCCUCCCCUACCA
Molecule: transfer RNA, 83 nt
Filed under: Candidatus Pinguicoccus supinus
Lineage: Bacteria; Pseudomonadati; Verrucomicrobiota
Rfam family: tRNA
About the family: Transfer RNA (tRNA) molecules are approximately 80 nucleotides in length.
Source: Rfam by way of RNAcentral